This 416-nucleotide ribosomal RNA is filed under the name uncultured bacterium. RNAcentral's name for it is "bacterial SSU rRNA". It matches the Rfam family "Bacterial small subunit ribosomal RNA", at positions 917 to 1333 of the family's 1533-position model. The record is from RNAcentral.
GGGCCCGCACAAGCAGCGGAGCGUGUUGCUUAAUUCGAUGCAACGCGAAAAACCUUACCUACACUUGACAUACUUCGAAUUUUCUAGAGAUAGAUUAGUGCCUUCGGGAGCGAAGAUACAGGUGCUGCAUGGCUGUCGUCAGCUCGUGUCGUGAGAUGUUGGGUUAAGUCCUAUAACGAGCGCAACCCUUACCCUUAUUUGCCAGCGGUUAGGCCGGGAACUAUAAGGGAACUGCCGGUAAUAAGCCGGAGGAAGGUGGGGACGACGUCAAGUCAUCAUGGCCCUUACGUGUAGGGCUACACACGUGCUACAAUGGGAGAUACAGACGGUUGCUAAAGCGCGAGCUGGAGCCAAUCCGACAAAGUCUCUCGUAGUCCGAAUUGCAGUCUGGAACUCGACUGCAUGAAGCCGGAAUC